GUCAUAAAUAUGAUCAUUUGCUCAAUGCAGUUCAAUUUUCUAUCUAGCUAGCAAACGUCUUUUUUUUUUUUUUUUUUUUUUUUUUUUUUUUUACAAGAAAUGCAGGAUUUAAUGCCUCUGAGAAGAACAGCCACAAUCUAACCAUCUUGUCAAUUCCAUUCCCUGGAACCUCAGGAGUUGAGUCUUCUUGCCAGUUUCACGGAGUCCACAUCGGCCUUCUUUUUCUAUUCCUCAAUCUUCCAUUUCAGACAGUGUUGGUAAUUGGUUUUUAAUCGGUUCAUUUACCUGAAUGCUUUAUACUGCCUCAGAAACUCUACUAUCAUGUUUCCAAAGAAAAUGGUGUGUUCUGGGUUUCCUUGACUACCUUCUGAAAGUCAUCAAAAGGAAGGAAAGUUGAUGGUGUUUGCAGCCUGGAAACUCAGGCCUUGAGGAGACAGAGGAAAACUGGGUUAAUAAUCACUUGUGUGAAAAAGAAAUAUAUUUAAGUUUAUUUCAUACGGAGGAGGAAAUUCUGGAAAAAAAAAAAAAGAAAAAAGAAAAACCAAAAAGAGAAGAAAAAAAGAAGCACACGUCAAAAGAUAAAAUAGUGCAGCAGAAGGAUUCAUUGCCUAGGUUAGAAGAAUUUUCACUAUGA
Molecule: long non-coding RNA, 634 nt
Filed under: Rhinopithecus bieti (black snub-nosed monkey)
Lineage: Eukaryota; Metazoa; Chordata; Mammalia; Primates; Cercopithecidae
Description: lncRNA (ENSRBIG00000046320.1)
Source: RNAcentral